AGCUUUAUAGUCAAAAAUGAUAUAAAAUUGCAAAUUUUAAGGAAUAAAUUAUUUAUUGAAGCUU
Molecule: transfer RNA, 64 nt
Filed under: Parachronistis sp.
Lineage: Eukaryota; Metazoa; Arthropoda; Insecta; Lepidoptera; Gelechiidae
Description: tRNA-Cys
Source: RNAcentral